RNAcentral lists this ribosomal RNA (425 nucleotides) under uncultured bacterium. RNAcentral describes it as "partial 16S ribosomal RNA". It matches the Rfam family "Bacterial small subunit ribosomal RNA", at positions 354 to 796 of the family's 1533-position model. The record is from RNAcentral.
GUGGGGAAUCUUGCGCAAUGGGCGAAAGCCUGACGCAGCCAUGCCGCGUGGAUGAUGAAGGUCUUAGGAUUGUAAAAUCCUUUCACCGGUGAAGAUAAUGACUGUAGCCGGAGAAGAAGCCCCGGCUAACUUCGUGCCAGCAGCCGCGAUAAUACGAAGGGGGCUAGCGUUGCUCGGAUUUACUGGGCGUAAAGGGCGCGUAGGCGGACAUUUAAGUCAGGGGUGAAAUCCCGGGGCUCAACCUCGGAACUGCCUUUGAUACUGGGUGUCUUGAGUAUGAGAGAGGUGUGUGGAACUCCGAGUGUAGAGGUGAAAUUCGUAGAUAUUCGGAAGAACACCAGUGGCGAAGGCCACACACUGGCUCAUUACUGACGCUGAGGCGCGAAAGCGUGGGGAGCAAACAGGAUUAGAAACCCUAGUAGUCC